This 200-nucleotide ribosomal RNA is filed under the name uncultured bacterium. Its description in RNAcentral is "partial 16S ribosomal RNA". It matches the Rfam family "Bacterial small subunit ribosomal RNA", at positions 30 to 233 of the family's 1533-position model. The record is from RNAcentral.
AUUGAACGCUGGCGGCAGGCCUAACACAUGCAAGUCGAGCGGUUGAGGUAGCUUGCUACCGAUGCAGCGGCGGACGGGUGAGUAAUACAUGGGAAUCUGCCUGGUAGUGGGGGACAACGUCUCGAAAGGAACGCUAAUACCGCAUACGCCCUACGGGGGAAAGGGGGGAUCGCAAGACCUCUCGCUAUCAGGUGAGCCCA